GGGGAUGCUUGGAUUCGACGGGGAGGGCUGUUUCAGAGUUGCAAGCAGCGGCGCACGACCGCUCUAAAACGGGCAAAACUUAGAUGCGAACACUCGCACCAACCUCCAGGCUCUUCCAGUCGCGGCGUAAGCCAACACGAGAUUAGCUGAAAGGUUCGCAGACUAGCUCUGCGACGUCCACGCACGGUCUCCCCCAAGGGCUGGGCGCUGGGCGACACCAAGUUGGGGUGCGAUAAUCGCAACGCCGGUAGCGAUUAUCAAAGAGGCGCAAGCCAUCACACGGCUGUGCGUGAUCAACUCCGUUGAUUGAGCCGGAUCACGCGAGACUCAAAAAUCGACUAAGCUUGUAGUAACUCUGAGGCGAACUUUUCGGACGCGGGUUCAAUUCCCGCCAUCUCCACCA
RNAcentral lists this transfer-messenger RNA (403 nucleotides) under Anaerolineae. RNAcentral's name for it is "JACRMI01 sp016215025 Standard tmRNA". It matches the Rfam family "transfer-messenger RNA". From Rfam's summary of the family: Bacterial tmRNA, also known as 10Sa RNA or SsrA, is named for its dual tRNA and mRNA-like properties. RNAcentral also lists the same sequence under 1 other name. The record is from RNAcentral. Lineage: Bacteria; Bacillati; Chloroflexota.